Molecule: microRNA precursor, 101 nt
Filed under: Daphnia pulex (common water flea)
Lineage: Eukaryota; Metazoa; Arthropoda; Branchiopoda; Diplostraca; Daphniidae
Description: microRNA dpu-mir-375 precursor
Gene: dpu-mir-375
Source: miRBase by way of RNAcentral
CGGGAGUGUGUCGUGAAAAAAGUCGCCGGAGUUGAUGUUGCGGUCACAUUUGCAGUUCGGUUUGUUCGUUCGGCUUGAGUUAGUUUGACAGUCAAAUAGCG